This 1296-nucleotide ribosomal RNA is filed under the name Escherichia coli. RNAcentral's name for it is "partial 23S ribosomal RNA". It matches the Rfam family "Bacterial large subunit ribosomal RNA", at positions 180 to 1519 of the family's 2925-position model. Lineage: Bacteria; Pseudomonadati; Pseudomonadota; Gammaproteobacteria; Enterobacterales; Enterobacteriaceae. The record is from RNAcentral.
CGAACCGGGGGAACUGAAACAUCUAAGUACCCCGAGGAAAAGAAAUCAACCGAGAUUCCCCCAGUAGCGGCGAGCGAACGGGGAGCAGCCCAGAGCCUGAAUCAGUAUGUGUGUUAGUGGAAGCGUCUGGAAAGGCGCGCGAUACAGGGUGACAGCCCCGUACACAAAAAUGCACAUGCUGUGAGCUCGAUGAGUAGGGCGGGACACGUGGUAUCCUGUCUGAAUAUGGGGGGACCAUCCUCCAAGGCUAAAUACUCCUGACUGACCGAUAGUGAACCAGUACCGUGAGGGAAAGGCGAAAAGAACCCCGGCGAGGGGAGUGAAAAAGAACCUGAAACCGUGUACGUACAAGCAGUGGGAGCACGCUUAGGCGUGUGACUGCGUACCUUUUGUAUAAUGGGUCAGCGACUUAUAUUCUGUAGCAAGGUUAACCGAAUAGGGGAGCCGAAGGGAAACCGAGUCUUAACUGGGCGUUAAGUUGCAGGGUAUAGACCCGAAACCCGGUGAUCUAGCCAUGGGCAGGUUGAAGGUUGGGUAACACUAACUGGAGGACCGAACCGACUAAUGUUGAAAAAUUAGCGGAUGACUUGUGGCUGGGGGUGAAAGGCCAAUCAAACCGGGAGAUAGCUGGUUCUCCCCGAAAGCUAUUUAGGUAGCGCCUCGUGAAUUCAUCUCCGGGGGUAGAGCACUGUUUCGGCAAGGGGGUCAUCCCGACUUACCAACCCGAUGCAAACUGCGAAUACCGGAGAAUGUUAUCACGGGAGACACACGGCGGGUGCUAACGUCCGUCGUGAAGAGGGAAACAACCCAGACCGCCAGCUAAGGUCCCAAAGUCAUGGUUAAGUGGGAAACGAUGUGGGAAGGCCCAGACAGCCAGGAUGUUGGCUUAGAAGCAGCCAUCAUUUAAAGAAAGCGUAAUAGCUCACUGGUCGAGUCGGCCUGCGCGGAAGAUGUAACGGGGCUAAACCAUGCACCGAAGCUGCGGCAGCGACGCUGAUGCGUUGUUGGGUAGGGGAGCGUUCUGUAAGCCUGCGAAGGUGUGCUGUGAGGCAUGCUGGAGGUAUCAGAAGUGCGAAUGCUGACAUAAGUAACGAUAAAGCGGGUGAAAAGCCCGCUCGCCGGAAGACCAAGGGUUCCUGUCCAACGUUAAUCGGGGCAGGGUGAGUCGACCCCUAAGGCGAGGCCGAAAGGCGUAGUCGAUGGGAAACAGGUUAAUAUUCCUGUACUUGGUGUUACUGCGAAGGGGGGACGGAGAAGGCUAUGUUGGCCGGGCGACGGUUGUCCCGGUUUAAGCGU